This is a long non-coding RNA of Arachis duranensis, 902 nucleotides long. RefSeq lists it as uncharacterized. NCBI's taxonomy places the organism in Eukaryota, Viridiplantae, Streptophyta, Magnoliopsida, Fabales, Fabaceae. The record is from RefSeq and is a predicted model, not a curated record. The transcript is spliced from 2 exons.
GAAACGGUGGAGGUGGAUGGUUUGGACAAGACCGCAGAAGUAAUGUAUAUUUUUUGUUGCCACAACACUAGCGAUGAAAGUUUGAUUGAUAUGUUCAUGGAACCUGGAAAUGUUUUCGAGGGAGAGCCAUCUACUAACACUGGUUCUGGGGUUGUUUCUUAUGCCAGAGUCAAGCUCCAACUCAAAACUUUUUCUGCCAAGAUUGAAUCCAAGGGUAAUUUUAACCUUGGUGAUUAUGUAAAUCUUUAUAUGUUUGCUGUUGGAGAUGAAGACCAAUAAUUGUAAGAAAUUCUUUGUUUAAGACGUUGAAAUUAAAGAAGAAUAUUUGCACAGUAUCCUAAAAUUGAAAACUCCCAAAUCCUGAAAGAAAAAUUACACCUUGUAUGGCCAUUAUUUUUUAAUAUUUUAACUAAUGAAUAUACUCACCAUAAAAUUGUCAGAAUCUAGCAACAAAUAAAUGUAUAUUCAACAAAAUUAAUGCUAUCCAAUUUUAUUGAAAAUGUGCUUAAAUUUAAUGAUAGGUCUGCUCAUCUUCGCUUAUUGGUUUUACUGAUCUGUAUAUUUUUGCACUUGGUUCCAAUAUUCCAUUAUGUUUGAGGGUGCUUCUUGUUGGUGGCACUCAUGCCUAUGAAGAAGGAAGGAAUGCAAAUUAAUUUGUUAAUUGCUAUUGUACUCUUGAUUUUCGGAUUUCAAUCUUGACCUCCAAAAUAUUAAUGAUGAUGGGGAGUUGGAAAGCGACCAAGAUUAAUUGUGUUAAAUUUGUUUAGUGACUAGACAUUGGUUUUUAUUUCUUUCUUUUUUAUCUUGUUUGACAUUGUAUGUUUCUUGUGUUUUUAGUUUAUGUUCAGACGUGAUCAUAGUUGUAUAAAUUUUAAAAAUUAAUCUUGUUUGUUAGAUUCGAA